CCAAAUCUUGACAUCCUUUGACAACUCUAGAGAUAGAGCCUUCCCCUUCGGGGGACAAAGUGACAGGUGGUGCAUGGUUGUCGUCAGCUCGUGUCGUGAGAUGUUGGGUUAAGUCCCGCAACGAGCGCAACCCUUAAGCUUAGUUGCCAUCAUUAAGUUGGGCACUCUAAGUUGACUGCCGGUGACAAACCGGAGGAAGGUGGGGAUGACGUCAAAUCAUCAUGCCCCUUAUGAUUUGGGCUACACACGUGCUACAAUGGACAAUACAAAGGGCAGCGAAACCGCGAGGUCAAGCAAAUCCCAUAAAGUUGUUCUCAGUUCGGAUUGUAGUCUGCAACUCGACUACAUGAAGCUGGAAUCGCUAGUAAUCGUAGAUCAGCAUGCUACGGUGAAUACGUUCCCGGGUCUUGUACACACCGCCCGUCACACCACGAGA
Molecule: ribosomal RNA, 436 nt
Filed under: Staphylococcus aureus
Lineage: Bacteria; Bacillati; Bacillota; Bacilli; Caryophanales; Staphylococcaceae
Description: bacterial SSU rRNA
Rfam family: Bacterial small subunit ribosomal RNA
Source: RNAcentral